Ochotona curzoniae (black-lipped pika) is the source of this 137-nucleotide small nucleolar RNA. RefSeq annotates it as small nucleolar RNA SNORA70. Lineage: Eukaryota; Metazoa; Chordata; Mammalia; Lagomorpha; Ochotonidae. The transcript has a single exon. The record is from RefSeq and is a predicted model, not a curated record.
UUGAGGAUUUAAUUUCUCUAAAUCUCUUUUUAAAGAUUUCAUGGGUGCCUGGUGUGCAAUGGCUGCAAACAUCCUCCUUGGUAGUGUACGCAACCUGUUCCUUGUAUAGAUUGCCCUGAGGGGCCUUGGAGACAGUC